UACAGAGGUCCCGAGCGUUGUUCGGAUUCAUUGGGCGUAAAGGGUGCGUAGGCGGCGGUGCAAGUCUGAUGUGAAAUCCCGGGGCUCAACCCCGGAACUGCAUUGGAUACUGCCUUGCUCGAGUACUGGAGAGGGAACUGGAAUUUACGGUGUAGCAGUGAAAUGCGUAGAGAUCGUAAGGAAGGCCAGUGGCGAAGGCGAGUUCCUGGACAGUUACUGAAGCUGAGGCACGAAGGCCAGGGGAGCAAACGGG
RNAcentral lists this ribosomal RNA (253 nucleotides) under uncultured bacterium. RNAcentral describes it as "partial 16S ribosomal RNA". It matches the Rfam family "Bacterial small subunit ribosomal RNA", at positions 524 to 776 of the family's 1533-position model. The record is from RNAcentral.